Molecule: long non-coding RNA, 644 nt
Organism: Gopherus flavomarginatus (Mexican gopher tortoise)
Lineage: Eukaryota; Metazoa; Chordata; Testudines; Testudinidae
Exons: 3
Source: RefSeq, a predicted model, not a curated record
CCCUAAAACAGGGCAAAGUAUCAAUCUCAUUAACGGUAUGGGGUGAUUUCAGACCUAGUGUGACCAGGUGCAACUCCACUGAAGUCAAUGGAUUGACACCUGCGUAGAGGUUGGAAUUUGCUCAGUGACAACAUAAUCUCACCCACACUGAGAAGACAGAGGAACCAGCCAUUAGACUUUGGGAAGGGUUCUGACCUGAGAAUGUGGUUGCCCUAUUGCUGGGAACAUGUGGUAAGGAUUUCACCUUGAACUGAGUCUAGUUUGGGGAGAAGCAUUACCAAGUGUGAAAUACUAGUUCACCACCAGAGGUGUUAGCUUCUCCCCAAAAAAAUAAGGUCUACAGACAUCAGAGAAGCCACUGUGGACAAAAGACUGUUGAUUGCUUCCCCCACAGCCCUGGAGAGGGUACGUGCCCAAACCCUCAUCCCAUCACACCUUGAACACUGGAGCAAGGGAAUAAAAAUAUUUAUUCUAUUUGAACACUGAGGGGUGAGGAUUUCUAAGCACUUGCAAGGAGUUCCCAGUUCUUUUGCCUGGAUUGGCCCUAAAAUAUAUGCAGUCAGCUUACUGUCGAAGUUUCUAUCACCUUUCUUUUACUAUAACUCAUUUGUGUAUGUACGCUUACCUGCUGUAAACUUGUCAAU